UACGGGGGGGGGCAAGCGUUGUUCGGAAUUACUGGGCGUAAAGGGCGCGUAGGCGGAUAGUUUAGUCAGAGGUGAAAGCCCAGGGCUCAACCUUGGAAUUGCCUUUGAUACUGGCUGUCUUGAGUACGGGAGAGGUGAGUGGAACUCCGAGUGUAGAGGUGAAAUUCGUAGAUAUUCGGAAGAACACCAGUGGCGAAGGCGACUCACUGGCCCGUUACUGACGCUGAGGCGCGAAAGCGUGGGGAGCAAACAGG
RNAcentral lists this ribosomal RNA (254 nucleotides) under uncultured bacterium. Its description in RNAcentral is "partial 16S ribosomal RNA". It matches the Rfam family "Bacterial small subunit ribosomal RNA", at positions 524 to 776 of the family's 1533-position model. The record is from RNAcentral.